Long non-coding RNA from Helianthus annuus (common sunflower), 4219 nucleotides. RefSeq lists it as uncharacterized. NCBI's taxonomy places the organism in Eukaryota, Viridiplantae, Streptophyta, Magnoliopsida, Asterales, Asteraceae. The record is from RefSeq and is a predicted model, not a curated record. The transcript is spliced from 12 exons.
UCGAGAUAUAAGUUGAUUGACGCCCUCAACUCCCCUCUGUAUAAUUUGAUCGACGCCCUCAACUCACCUUGGUAUUAUUCGUGGUAUAGCUAUGUGUUUCUAAUCUCUCAGAAUGAAAGGGUGAAAAAGGCAAUUGUUUACAUGUGGUAAUCAUUUAGGCCGAAGAUUUGGUGAUUCGUGAUAUAAUUUGAUCGACGCCAUCAACUCCCCUCUGUAUUAUUCGUGGUAUAUCUGUUUUUGUUCGGCUCAUGAAACUAUCAGAGCCUUGCGAUUUGGAUAAAUCUUUUGCAAUCAGCCAAUCAAUACAAGGAUAUGGUUGAAUAAGUUGUGUAUCAAGAAAGAGGUAUCUUAAUAGCGUAUUAUUCUAUGAUAUUAUUAAUACUCAAGCAAUGUACAAAUGGCUGAAUUGGUUGUGUAUCAAGAAAGAGGUACCUAAAUAGCGUAUUUAUUCUCUGAUAUUAUUAAUAACCAAGCAAUGUAAAACCUACAAUCAGUGAAGUGUUCUUGUUGUAAAUUACAUGGAAUGCGUCUUUCUACAUGUACACAAACUUUUAGACACAAAAUUAGGUAUAUUAUGUUUAUAUAUAUUAGUUCAUUCAGAGAUUUGUAAUAUAAAAUGGUUGGUAUCUUAUUCGGGUUGCUAAAGUUUUAAAAUCUUUCUUAAGAUAUCCGUUUAGGAUUACAUCGCUCGGAUUAUAUGCUUGAUGAGAAAACAAAUUUACUUCUUCAAAUAGAACUGAACACAAUUUAUAGGGUUUUCAUGAUUUAGAGCUCCUGGCUCUGUUUUUCUUUUUAUGUGUUCAUAUUCGAUUGUGUUUAGGAACAUGAAAUUAGGAUUAGUCAACAAUUCGAUUCAUUGAUCGAGUAUCAGUUUUAGGUUUUACAGAAAUAAGAGCUACUGACUCUUUUUUAUCUUUUUUAUGUGUUUGUACUCAGUUAUGUAUAGGAUACUUAAGUGAAGAUUAGUCAACAAUUUAUUUCACCAAUAGAAUUUUAUUUUUAGGUUUUAUAGAAAUUAGAGUUUCUGACUCUGUUUUUCUUAUGUACAUAUUCAGUUGUGUCUAGGAAAGUAAUAUUAGGAUCAGUAAUUUAGUUCACAGAUCGGAUUUAAUUAGUCGAUCUCUAAUAUCCAAUUGCCAAUGGUUUGUCAAGUGUUUAGUGUUGUACAGGGGCUAAAAGAAGAAUUUGGUAAAGGUCUGUUUUAUGUAUUUGGCAAAGGUCUGUUUUGUGUUUUGAAACAUGUAUUUAGCAAAGGUCUGUUUUAUGUUUUGAAACCUCUGUUUGUUGUGAACAGAUGUUAGAAAAAUAAAAACAGUGGUUGCCUUUGGUCAACAAAUGUUUGAAACCAUUGUUGGGUUAAAUAUUGUUUUGUGGAGAAAACAAUGGUUGAAACCACUGUUGGGUUAAAAUGGUGGUUUGAAACCACUGUCGGGUUAAAACAGUGUUUGUGGAGAAAACAAAUGUUUGAAACCAUUAGUGAGGAUUUCAACAUCAUUAGGUAUUUAAUUAAUCAUGAAACUAAUAAGUGUUAUCUUUUAUUCACUCCGAUCUUCGUUUUUUUUCUUGAUUUCAAGGGCUGGAUUCGACGAAUAAGAAUAAGAAAGGUCAAAAGUCAACAGUUGGGAUGUGCAUGGUUUCAGAUGCUCUUUCAGCGUACAACCACCACAAGGCCUCAAAUUGAAAGCUGGAAGGAAAUGAAGUCCAUAAACGAUUGGCGAAGAAAUCUUCAAUUCAAUCAUCAAUUAACGCACGCUGUUCUCAGUUGUUCAUCAUCAUCAGAGAGUGCACUGAGAAAGAAUUUCAAGUCUUAUGGAGCUUGGCAAAGAGAUUUCAUCCACAGAGCAGUAUUUAAAGCUUCUAAAUCUAUUCCAGAAGUAAAAUACCUACAAUUUUCAUGCGUGGGAUUACCAAAGCAUAUGCUGUAAUUGACGUUUUUCGGAUCUUUUAAGGACUGGGGAAGUGGAGGAGGUAGGGGUUCGGGUACUACGAGUUGUAAGAGGUCUACGGUGAGGAGUUUAGAUGCCGACAAUCUUAUAAAGUUGUUCCAUGGUCCGGAUCAGGCGAAACUCGAGUGUAAUUGAUUGGAAAUUGAAGUCAGAGAUAAAGACCGAGAACUAAGCAAAUUACAAGCUUAGAUCAAAACGCUCCAACUCUUUGAACGACUGAGAGAAAAGGCUGUUGAAGAGCAACAUUAGUUGUAUUUUGUGGGAACUGGGAAUGCAAUUGCUCAAGGCUCUUAUGCAACCCUUAUUUCUGGUCAACAAGUGGUUUUUGUUGCACUUCUCCAUGUGUCAGGAUUUCUUUGCUACAUACCCGAAUUUCAUCCUCUCAACUUUCUAAAGUCAAAGUCUAAAGAAUUCAGAUUUGUAGUGCGAAUAACAUCUGUAUCGAAACAGCCACAGUUUCGGUACACACAAACUCCGUCGAAGACACAUAGAAGCAGAUGCAAAGUUGAUAAUUGUUUAGAUAUAAGCUUGCCUUUUGCCAUCUUCAAGGCGUAGUGCACAUGACCUAAAGCCGCCGGUUAUAAAUGCAUCCCUUUUUUUGUUGAAAAUUUCACUUUUUUAUUUUUUUCAAAUCAAUUAAGUUUCAAGAUAUAAUUAUUAGUCAUGUUUCUUUUAUCUUCAUGUUAUAAAUACAAUGGGUGCACAUGAUGAGAUAAAUGCUGGUGGAUGUGACGGCAUGACUUAAGAAGAAAUAAAGAAGAAUGAGAAGCUAUGACAAGGUUUAAAGCUAUUGAAUGGCUUGAAAGUGUAGUUAGGCCAUUGGAGAUACCAAAAUAGCCAUCAAACUUUGCUGUAUAAGGCCACCGGGGGUGGAAGCCUUUUGCUCCGUGAUGAACAUAUAUCACGCAUUAUACAUGGCGGCCGGUCACCACCAUCACGCGUUAACUUGACAACACGUGGCCACUAUCACGUGUUGUAUAUUGUUGUUUUGUGAAUGAUUUUGAUGAUGGAGAUGAGUGUGUGGUGAGUGAUGGACAUUUCCACUAAAAACCAUCACUAGUGAUGGAAUAAAGCUCGAUGACAUACCGGAAUUUGAUUGGAUGUUGUGAGUGAUGAGUGAGUUGUGAGUGAUGACCACCCUUACCCCCCUAAGGGGUAAAGCUUCAUGUUUCCACCAACCAAUGGUUGUUCCAUCUUAAAUAUUUUUGGUAUGGAUCUUAACCAUAAAUUGUGAUUUGAUUUUGGCUUCUACUAAUUAUUACCACUUUCUUCUUUUUGUAGUGUUGAAGUUUCAAAUCAGAAGAUAUCGAUUUAUGAUUUAUGAUCUGUUUUUUAUUGCCUGGGAUUUUAUUUAGAAUAGGUUAUUAUUUGUAUUAUAGUUGACAAAAAUCGUUGUUUUAUAAAAUGUAUUAAGUAAAAUUUCUAAAAACCACCCGUGUUUGCACAUGGGUUUACUACUAGUAUAAUAUAAUAAAUCAGAUGAAUUUAGGACACGUGUCAUGUAAUUAGGCUAUUGUUGAUGUAGUUUUGGAUGGCUUUCUCUUAUGAAGUUUUAUUUUUGGAAAAGAUUUAUGUGUUCAUUCUAUAUCUUUUUCUCAAGAAUUGGUAACCCUAAUUUUUUUCUUUAGCCAUUUCUAUCCGUGGCUUCUAAUGUUUCACGAAAAAACCCUAACCAAAUAUGUUUUUCAUCAUCUUCUUCUAACAAUUAAUUCAAAGAAAGGUAUGUUUAUUUGGUUUUAUUACAUUUGUAAUUUUAUUCUAAUAACUUAGUCUGAUUUUUUUUUUUUUUUUUUUUGAGUUUUCUUCUCAACAACCUUACAUAGUGAGUCUGUAAAUAUGAGUUGUGUGUGUUUCAUCCGGUCCCCUGUCGCACUUGUAUAAAAAUUUGAGUAUUCAUCCAGGCGCUUCUUAAUUUGAGGUUAAAAAGCCGUUUAGAUAGCUAGCAUUGAAGGUGAUGAUUUAUAGAUGAAUUUGUUAAACUUUUAAUUUUUGUUUAUUUUGUUUGAUUUAAUCGCUAUUAACAACUGUUUUUUAUUGAAUUUGAGUAUCAUCCGGAUGUGUGUAGAGGAAGCAAUUGUGGAGUUCAAUUUCAUUAAAUUAACGAAGCUUAUGAUAGUUGAUCGUCUAUUCUAAAGCAAUGAUGGAGACAGGUGAUAGUUUAAUUUUUUGGUUGCUUUGAUGUACAAGUACUGUUGUUAUUUUUAUAAUUGUAUACAUAUAACUUUAUACUUUUCUCUGUUAAUACGUAGUUACUAGGCUCUAACUUGUUAGUA